RNAcentral lists this ribosomal RNA (341 nucleotides) under bacterium ocnta306lb309onnp9.8. RNAcentral describes it as "bacterial SSU rRNA". It matches the Rfam family "Bacterial small subunit ribosomal RNA", at positions 50 to 379 of the family's 1533-position model. The record is from RNAcentral.
UACACAUGCAGUCGAGCGGAAACGAGUUAUCUGAACCUUCGGGAACGAUAACGGCGUCGCGNNNCGGACGGGUGAGUAAUGCCUAGGAAAUUGCCCUGAUGUGGGGGAUAACCAUUGGAAACGAUGGCUAAUACCGCAUGAUGCCUACGGGCCAAAGAGGGGGACCUUCGGGCCUCUCGCGUCAGGAUAUGCCUAGGUGGGAUUAGCUAGUUGGUGAGGUAAGGGCUCACCAAGGCGACGAUCCCUAGCUGGUCUGAGAGGAUGAUCAGCCACACUGGAACUGAGACACGGUCCAGACUCCUACGGGAGGCAGCAGUGGGGAAUAUUGCACAAUGGGCGCA